AGAUAGGUUUUUCUCAAAACCACAACUUUUGUUAGUCAUUUCUAAG
Agrilus planipennis (emerald ash borer) is the source of this 46-nucleotide non-coding RNA. The record is from Rfam. Lineage: Eukaryota; Metazoa; Arthropoda; Insecta; Coleoptera; Buprestidae.